Molecule: non-coding RNA, 72 nt
Organism: Hordeum vulgare subsp. vulgare (domesticated barley)
Lineage: Eukaryota; Viridiplantae; Streptophyta; Magnoliopsida; Poales; Poaceae
Source: Rfam
GGGCGUUUUGUCUAGUGGUAUGAUUCUCGCUUUGGGUGCGAGAGGUCGCGAGUUCGAUUCUUCCAACGCCCC